GAUGAACGCUGGCGGCGUGCCUAAUACAUGCAAGUCGAGCGAACGGACGAGAAGUUUGCUCCUCUGAUGUUAGCGGCGGACGGGUGAGUAACACGUGGAUAACCUACCUAUAAGACUGGGAUAACUUCGGGAAACCGGAGCUAAUACCGGAUGAUAUUUUGAACCGCAUGGUUCAAAAGUGAAAGACGGUCUUGCUGUUACUUAUAGAUGGAUCCGCGCUGCAUUAGCUAGUUGGUAAGGUAACGGCUUACCAAGGCAACGAUGCAUAGCCGACCUGAGAGGGUGAUCGGCCACACUGGAACUGAGACACGGUCCAGACUCCUACGGGAGGCAGCAGUAGGGAAUCUUCCGCAAUGGGCGAAAGCCUGACGGAGCAACGCGGCGUGAGUGAUGAAGGUCUUCGGAUCGUAAAACUCUGUUAUUAGGGAAGAACAUAUGUGUAAGUAACUGUUCACAUCUUGACGGUACCUAAUCAGAAAGCCACGGCUAACUACGUG
Molecule: ribosomal RNA, 497 nt
Filed under: uncultured bacterium
Lineage: Bacteria
Description: partial 16S ribosomal RNA
Rfam family: Bacterial small subunit ribosomal RNA
Source: RNAcentral